RNAcentral lists this ribosomal RNA (484 nucleotides) under uncultured bacterium. Its description in RNAcentral is "partial 16S ribosomal RNA". It matches the Rfam family "Bacterial small subunit ribosomal RNA", at positions 30 to 507 of the family's 1533-position model. The record is from RNAcentral.
AUUGAACGCUGGCGGCAGGCCUAACACAUGCAAGUCGAGCGGAUGAAGGGAGCUUGCUCCUGGAUUCAGCGGCGGACGGGUGAGUAAUGCCUAGGAAUCUGCCUGCUAGUGGGGGAUAACGUCCGGAAACGGGCGCUAAUACCGCAUACGUCCUGAGGGAGAAAGUGGGGGAUCAUCGGACCUCACGCUAUCAGAUGAGCCUAGGUCGGAUUAGCUAGUUGGUGGGGUAAAGGCCUACCAAGGCGACGAUCCGUAACUGGUCUGUGAGGAUGAUCAGUCCCCCUGGAACUGAGACACGGUCCAGACUCCUACGGGAGGCAGCAGUGGGGAAUAUUGGACAAUGGGCGAAAGCCUGAUCCAGCCAUGCCGCGUGUGUGAAGAAGGUCUUCGGAUUGUAAAGCACUUUAAGUUGGGAGGAAGGGCAGUAAGUUAAUACCGUGCUGUUUUGACGUUACCAACAGAAUAAGCACCGGCUAACUUCGUG